UUAGCCCAGGUGUGGAGUGUUCUCUCAUACUGCAACCUGGACCCCACAUCACAUGCCGCUGAUCUGACAGUGGACAGAGCUAGGUUGAUCUUUGGCCUAGUCUCUCGCAUGGACAUGAACGUAGGAGCUCUCAUUUCUGGCCAGAUGACUUCUAUAACCCAGUCUAACUCUUCUAGACUUGGGUUUCCUGCUCUGAUCACCGCCCUAUGUAGAGCCAGAGGGGUUGUCUCUGACAGCCUUACUUUUAAGCGCCUUAGCCCGGUCAUUAACUUGGCGAUGGCGAGGCCAGCUGAGCUUCCUUCCACAUCUUCAGCUCCUACUCCAGCAUCCACUUCAGUAGCUCCUUCAGUCCCAGCUCAGAGUGAUUCUCAGCGCUUUGAAGCCAUGCUUCGGAGAAUUCACCACGAACAGAUUAUUUUGCUUCAGAGUUUACAGGUGGUGGCACCUCCAGGAUCCAUUCCUUCCGUUGAGCAGUUUAUGGAGAGGGUAGCCUGGCCUGGGGCCCAACCUUCUCUUCACAGGGAAGAUGAAGGUCCCAUAGCCCAGGUACCAUAGCAUGUAGAGGAUGAGUCAUCCGAGGCCACCAUUCCAGAGCCAUUCAUUGUAGAAGAGGAGGCAGGUGAGACACAGGUUAGACAGGAAGCUACUGCUACUCCUGAGAGAUCUCUUGAAGACACUUCAGAGCCUCCUGCACCAGUCCUGACUCUGAACACUUCUCCUCCAACUACUCCAGUACUUCAUUUGACAGAUGAGGAGGAUGUUCAGACACAGGACACACAGGACCAGUCACAGGAAUUCUAAAUUCCUAAUGAUGCUUUUUGGAUUGUUAUUAUUAUGAUUAUAGUUUUAGUAUAUUAGUUUUUAAUGAUUUUGGUUAAUGUUUAUAUGCACUGCUGUUUUUAUUUAUGGUUAAGUGGUAUGCUUGUUUUGAAGCAUAUAGAACAGUUUGACUUGAUUUUGAUGAUAUUGUAAUGAAACACUUUUAUCUUUUUGUGAAAAUUGGUGUAUGAAUUGAUUUUGGUUUGAAUGCAUGAUUGUGAUGGAGUUUAUGUUUCUUUUCAUGAGUUUGAGCAAGUAUGUAUGUUAGACAAAGAAAGAACAAGAAUGUGAAUCUGCAAUUAGAAUUGUUAGUCAAUAGACAGGUUGAUUGAGAAAGAAAAGCUUGAACCAUAAAAAUCGAAGUUAAAAGAUUAUUUUCUAAUAGUAUCUAAUGUUCAUCCUCUUAUCAAAAAAAGAAAUGAUCAUCCAUCCGCAAUGCAUUUUAUAUUAUUUAUUGCUUUACACUCAUGAUGUUAUUUAUUUCAUUCAAUAAUUAGUACAUUUCUUGACUAUAAAUAUUAACAAUAUAGGAUAAUUGAAACCAAAAUAAAUUCUAUCCUAGAAAAAUAUAAAAAAGAUGUUGAAUAUAUAUAUAUAUUGAAAGAUGAAGGAGAUAAGGAAAAUAAAAAACAAAAAAAUAUAAAAAAUAGGAAAACAUAAAAAUAAGAUGUUUUAAUUAUUGUUUAAAAAAUGGUUAUCUAAAACAAGAUAUCUUUAUUAAUAUUGGCAAAUGAAAAAAGAAUACUUUGAGGUAGAGCUUUUUUUUUUUUUACUAAUUCUCUUUGUCACAACAUUCGGUUUAUAUUUAUUUAAAAUGAAUAUUUUUUAUUAUUCUAUAUUGAAAAUAUACAUACAAGAAAAAUAUGAAUGAAGUAGUAUAACUAAUAAGUCUAAGUUUUGCAUAUAUAUAUAUAUAUAUAUAAAGAAAGAGUAUGGGAUGUUGUAAUUGUAGAAGCAAAGACUUUGAUGUUUUGAUGAUGCCAUGUGAUCAUGUGCUUCUCAAGUUUAAUUUAAGAGGAUCAUGCGCUUCUCAAGUUUAAUUCAAGACAAGAAUCCAAGAAAUUCAAGAUACAACAUCAAGAAAAUCUCUAGAGACAUAGGAAUGGAAUUCCAAGUUGAAACAGCAAGAGGUUUGGCCAUAUGAGUUAAAAUGUUUUUUUCAAGAUAUUUACUCUCUGGUAAUCGAUUACCAGAGGAUGUAAUCGAUUACCAGUGACCAAAAUGAUUUGAAACUAUUUAUAACAGCCAUUAGAAAUUUGAAUUCAAAUUUUACAAUGUGUAAUCGAUUACGUAAUCGAUUACCAGCAGUUACAGAACGUUUUAAUUCAAAUUUUAAAGCUUGUAAUCGAUUACACAAGUCUUGUAAUCGAUUACUAGAGGAGAUUUUCAAAAAAUAAUUUCCAAGAGUCACAUCUGUUCAAAUGGUUUUUGAAUGGCCAUCAAAGGUCUAUUUGUAUGUGACUUGGAACACAAAUCUGCUUAGAUUUUUUCAGAACAAAAAGGUCUUAUCCUCUCAAAAGCAAAAUUAUCUUAUCCUCUUAAAAAUUCCUUGGACAAUACACUUGCGAUUCAAUAAGGAAUUAUUUUGAGUUCUCCAUUGUUCAAUCUAUCUCUUUCAAGAGAGAUUUCUUCUUCUCUUCAUCUUAUUUCUAAAAAGGGAUUAAGAGAUCGAGGAUCUCUUAUUGUAAAGCAAUCUGAACACAAAGGAAGGGUUGCCCUUGUGUGGUUUAGAACUUGUAAAGGGCUUUUGCAAGAUUGUGGAACUCUCAAGCGGGUUGCUUGGGGACUAGACGUAGGCACAAGGGUGUGGCCGAACCAAUAUAAAUUUGAGUUUGCAUUUUUUUUCUUUUCCCUUAAACUCUUUUAUUUAUUAUUGUUUAUUGCUUCUAUUCAGUAAGUUUAAUUUGCAUAAUUAUUUAGGAAUUCAUUUUGAAAGGAAUCUUGGGAUUUGGGUUAAAAUCAAAAUAGAAUUUUUAAUUAGAAAAAAGUUUGUAAUGUCUUAAUUCAACCUCCUUCUUAAGAUAUUUGAGGCCACUUGUCUAACAGUAAUCUUUAAAAUAUUAUUUAUAUGUAAAAUAUUAUGAAAUCUCCUAAUUAAUUAUUAUAUAGAAUAAAUAAUAUCAUGACCACAAAAUAUUAAACAAAAUUAUAUUUCGAGUUGGAAGAACACCAAAAGCUAUCCGCCAGAGUGAGAAAGAGUUGGAAGAAUCCCUAAUGGAUGAAAAAAAAAUUAUUCUUUUAUUGUGAAAGGUAGUAGGGUUGUUGGAACCUGGAAACACCCUUGGGUUGACACAUUGGUCUCAGAAAUAUUAAAUUUUGUAAAAUUAGGAUAGAGCCUACUUGAGUAAUCCGUAUGGUUCGCAUGGAUUGACAAUCUGUAUGUACCAUAUGGAUAAUCCGUAUGGGUCAUAUAGAUUAUCAAUUCGUAUGUCUAAUAGUUCAAAAAAAAUAUCAUUUUCACGCAAAGUCAAACAAAAUGCAAAAAUAACUAUCAUCGUCGACAACCAACAACCAAAACACAAUGAUUCAAACAAAACAAUGCACAAACAAACCCAAAAUGAUAAAGAGAAUAACUUACCUUAAAAGAGAACGAAAAUGCGUCAAGCCAAUGAAGGGAGAAGAAGAUAAGAAACCACAACGAAGAAGAAGUUUGCUACACAAAUAGACCAAGGAACGAAGAAAAAGCAAGGAAGAAGAAGAACCACCCAAGGAAAAAAAAAACACCAACAAAGAAAAAGCAAAAAUAAUGAUUUGUACGAAUAAAUAACUUCUUUUAUUUAUAAAAAAAAGUGAAAGAUAUUUUAAUCUUUUAUCUUAGUUACCAAGGUGAAAGAUAUUUUAAUUUUUUAUCUUACUUACCAAGUGUCUUAAAAAAAUGGAAGUUUCCUUCAAUCUCGGUGAGAUCACUUUUUAUCUAUCGUGCCACUUAAAUGGAAGAGCAAGUAAGACUCAAUGACACUAUUUCUUCUUUCCAAUGAUACGCAUGGCAAUAAAGAUUUGCACAUUUGCAUUGUCAAACUAUUCCUUGCAACUGUCAAAUGAUAUGUUUGUGUCUGGUUUUUCAUUCCUUCUAUCCAUCAGCCGUAAGUCACGUCAACUUUGGAUGAUGAAAAAUCAUAUUUGAUAUAAGCCUCUCGGCAAAUCUAAAGCCAAUAGUCGUCACUAUACCAUUAGCUAUGAUAAAUAUUAAUUUCCUUAUGCCAUUUCCUUAUACUAAAAGUAUAUGUGGUGCAAUUAGAAUAUUAUGUUGAAGCAUUAGUGUAUUUUUAUAUUAUAUAUUAGUGUUAACUUUGGGUAUUUUCUUAAACUCCACGGACUCGGUGUCUGUGGACCUGCUAUUUCUACAAGAUUCGUACCAGCGUACCCUGGCCGAGCUUUGCUUGAUACCGACUCCACACUAUCUUCCAUAUGGUGGAUGAACCCUAUGCUAGUAUAACUUCAACAUGUCGGGGUCGACCAGUAAAUUAAGUGCGGCUAAUGGCCGCAGAGAUGCCCAUUGAGUUAAUAAACAAUCCAAUUAUUUCAUAUAUUUAAUAAGUAAUAAUAACGUCAACAUAACCAUGUGUUUAAAUCCAACCCAAGUUAAAUAGAAUGUUCAACAUACCAGGACCUGACCCUUGUGCACAGCAAGAUAAGUUAACGGCUUUUCCCAGUGCAAGAUGGAUUGUGCAUUGUGAAGAGGUGAGGGUAGACAUGGAGCAGUUGAACCCACCAUGUUCUAAACAAUAUGAUGCAAAAGCAACAGCUUGCUCAUAGGCAUCAUGAAGAAUUUACUUUGGCCAUCAUGCCUGUUGGUUCUUAUCCUUUGUUCAGCUACCAAAGAACCUACAAGAUAAAAAAAAACAGAAAACACAGCAAAGCAAUACACAACAGAGCAAGAACCCAAGGAUUUAUGUGGUUCGGCAAUGUGCCUACAUCCACGGGAAAGUGCAGCUCCUCAUCAUCACAUUGAUCAUGAAGUUACAAGUUCAAUACAAGCAGUAGCUAGCUUUGAUCUCUCUUGGUUUCUCUUUUGAAAACCACUCUCAAUCUCCUAGCUCACUACCUCCUAUAUGAACUCUCUGAAUUUUCUGCAACUCUUUUGUUUUGCUAAAGAAAACUCUCUCUGCAUUACAUGAUCAAGAGUAUAUAUACACUCUAAAAGCUAGUCCUAGGAACAAAGGCUAUACUUUGGUGCCAAAACCAAUUCAUUUAUAAUAACUGAAAACAGUUAUGACAACACCACUUUAAAGCCUUCUCACUUGUGCCUUUUGUGAUUUUGAAUCACAUACAACAAAUCUCUACCUUGAUUAUAAAUCAGCAAGUGUCUAUCUUGUGAUUCAGGGCUGCACUUCUACCAAUCUGCUUUAGGCAUCUUCAAAAUUUAUGAAGUUCAGGCAGUGCUUGAACUUGACACUAGAUAGGGACUUUGUAAACAUAUCAGCCGGGUUUUCUUUUGUUGAAACCUUCUCCACCUUCACCUUCUUAGAUUCAAUCACAUCUCUGACGAAGUGUAGUUUCACAUCUAUGUGCUUUGUCCUCUCAUGGUACAUUUGGUGAUUUGCUAAGUGGAUGGAACUUUGACUGUCAUAGUGAAUUGUGACACAUGACUGUGCUAUUCCAAGUUCAUUUACCAUGCUUUUAAACCAAAUUGCUUCCUUCACUCCUUCAGCUAAGGCCAUGUACUCUACUUCAGUUGUUGAAAGAGUAACAACUGAUUGUUGAUUUGCUUUCCAACUGAUUGUUGUACCAAACAAAGAAAAUACAUAUCCAAUUAUGGACUUUCUUAUAUCUACAUUUCCUGCAAAAUCUGCAUCUACAUAGCCUGUGAUUGCUGCCUCACGUGCUGUCUUCUUGUACCUUAAUCCAGCUUUCAAAGAUCCAUUUAGAUACCUUAGUGUCCACCUCACCACUUCCCAGUGUGCACUACCAGGAUCUCCCAUGAAUUUGCUUAUAAUACUUACAGCAUGAGCCAAGUCAGGUCUGCUACAAACCAUUCCAUAUAUUAUGCUUCCAACACCACUGGCAUAGGGUGUUUGAUUCAUUUUAGACCUUUCUUCAGCUGUUUCUGGUGCUUGAAUGACAGAUAGCUUUGUAUGAUGGCCAAGUGGUGUACUAACAGGUUUGCUUUGAUGCAUCCUAAACCUUUCCACCACUUUCUUGAGGUAGUUGCUUUGGGACAGGAAUAGUUCACCCUUUGCUCUAUCCCUAUGAAUAUCAAUCCCGAGUAUCCUUCUAGCUGACCCUAGAUCUUUCAUCUCAAAUUUUGUGUUCAAGCAUUCUUUGAGUUUCCUAAUCUCUUCUUUAUUAGCACUCGCUAUGAGGAUGUCAACCACAUAUAAGAGAAGGUAAAGAACACACACUUUCCCAUUUUUCAGGAUAUAUACACAAUUGUCAUAUCUGUUUCUAAUGAAGCCAAAUUUGAUCAAGAACUCAUCAAAUUUCUGGUACCACAUUCGAGGGCUUUGCUUCAGUCCAUACAAGGAUUUUUUCAGCAAGCACACCUUGUUCUCCCCUUCUUCAAAACCUUCAGGUUCGUUCAUGUAAAUGGUUUCCUUCAGAUUUCCAUGGAGAAAAGUUGUUUUAACAUCUAGCUGUUCAAGUUCCAAAUCAUAUUGAUUUACCAGACCAAGUACGAUUCUUAUGGAACAAUUCUUCACAACUGGUGAAAAAAUCUCAUUGUAAUCAAUUCCUUCAACCUGUGUAAAUCCUUUUGUUACCAAUCUUGCCUUGAAUCUAGGCCUUUCUACUCCUGGUAUGCCUUCUUUUUUCUUGAAAAUCCACUUACAUCCAACAACCUUUUGCUUCUUGGGUUGAUCCACAAGUAUCCAGGUCUUCUUCUUUCUCAAAGAUUCCAUUUCUUCACUCAUUGCAUGAAGUCACAGCUGGCUAUCUUCACUUUCAAUUGCUUCCCUCCAGGUCUUUGGUUCUGAAUUUUGAAUCUCCUCAGCAACACUCAAGGCGUAGCAUAUAAUAUAAGCAUGACCAUACCUCUUUGGAGGCUUUAUCACCCUUUUUUCUCUAUCUCUAGCCAAUUGAUAAUUGGACAAGUCAUGCUGAGUAACCAGCUCUUCAUUAUCUCCAGCUUCUCCUUGAUCAGUGUGAUCAAUAGCAUCUCCACUGUCAUGAUCUGAAAUCUCAGAAUGCUCCACCUCAAAAUUGGUAUUCUCACUACUUGAGCUGUUAUCCUUUUGCUCCUUACUUAGCAUUGCCAUUCUGCUCUCAUCAAAGGUUACAUCCUUGCUGAUGAUGCAUCUUGUCUCACUAGGUUCCAAUUUCCAUAGCUUGUACCCUUUAACUCCUUCAAGAUAGCCAAUGAACACACCUUUUACAGCCCUUGCAUUCAGCUUUCCUUAUUUAACAUGAGCAAAGGUCAGUGAUCCAAACACCCUUAAUUCUGAGUAAUCAGGUGGUUCACCACUCCAAGCUUCCAUUGGUGUCUUGAAACCUAAGGCUGAUGAAGGGCAUCUGUUAAUUAAAUAUGUUGAUGUGUUUGUAGCUUCUCCCCAAAAGGUCUUUGGCAGUCCUGCACUUAGUAGCAUCCACCUCACUCUUUCCAAAAUGAUCUUAUUCAUCCUUUCUGCUAAACCAUUCUGCUGUGGUGUGUGAGGGACUGUUUGUGCCUUUUCAUGCCUAUUUUCCUGCAAAACUCAUUGAACUGCUCUGAAACAAACUCCAGGCCAUUGUCAGUCCUUAAAACUUUUAAUUUUGUACCAAGUUGAUUUCCAAUAAGAGUAUGUCAUUCUCUGAAUUUUUGAAAAGAUUCUGACUUAUUUUUCAAAACAUACAACCAUACUCUUCUUGAGAAAUCAUCUAUGAUGGUGAGAAAGUAUGAGCUUCCACCAUGAGUUUUCACUCUAGAUGGUCCCCAUGAAUCAUAAUGCACAUACUCAAAAGGCCUAGAUGAAAAAUGAAUACUCGUGCCAAAGCUUAUUCUAUGUGAUUUACCAAGCACACAAUGAUCACAAAAUUCAAGUUUAUCUAGUUUAUCACCACCUAACAGAUUUUGUUUCUCAAGUUCAUGUAAUCCUCUUUCACUAACAUGACCUAAUCUCAAAUGCCAGAGUUUUGUUUUAUCAAUCAAUGUAUUACUAGCUACCGAUGCAUGUCCAAUAAUAGUGGAACCUUCAAGAAUAAACAAGCCAUUACUUUUAUUCUUGUUACCCUUAGCUAUGAUUAAAGAUCCAUUUGAAAUCUUAAGAACACCAUUUGGAAUUCUAGUUGCAUAUCCUAGAUCAUCAAACAUGUUUAUGGAAAUAAGAUUCCUUUUGAGUUUUGGAAUGUACCUUACAUUUUUCAGUAGAUACUCUCUGUUAUCAAACAUCUUCAAUCUCAUAGUUCCAAUGCCUUGUACCUUGCAGGGGUAGUUGUCUCCUAGCAAUAUAGCUCCUGCUAGUUUUAGUUCCAGGGUCUCAAAAUAGUCCUUUCUCGGGCUGCUGUGAUAUGAGCAUCCAGAAUCCAUAAUCCAUUCUGUUUGUGUUUUGAUAUUAGAAGCUACUAAAACACCUGCACUCUCAUAACCUUCAGAGGCUUCAACUAUGUCAGCAGAGUCCAAAGAUCCUUUCUUGAUCUUGUCUGGACAGUCUUUCUUGAAAUGACCAAUUUUAUGACAACUAAAGCAUUUGAACUUUGUUUUCUGGCCAUUCUUUGAAUCCCUUGACCUUGAUCUGGACUUCUUUCCUCUUGUUCCCUUCUUUUCACUCCUUCCCCUUGAAAUAUUCAAGCUUUCACCAUUAUCCUCAUAUUUGGAAUCUUGUUGUUUUUGCAUCUCCUUGGUCCUUAUUGAGGUAUUAUGUCAUUGUGAUACUUAUGUGCUUAUUACAUGUUUUUUGAUAUAUCAGUAUUGUUUUAUAUUAAAGUUAUGUGCAUUGUGAGUGAACUUUAGUUUUCCGUUUGAGAUUCAAUACAAUGAUUAAUAUAGAUAAUUUGGACAGUUUACGAAGAGUCAUUUUUUAUACAUAAUUCAUACUUAUAGGUUAAGUAUGUUGUGUUAAAUUUGAUGAAAUUUAUGUUUAUUGCAUAUCGCUUUGUUCUUCGGGUGCACACUUGAUCAUGGUGAAUUCAUCUCACCGCUUUCAUGUCGUGUACUUGGAGAUUAAUGCGAAAUGCUUCCAAAAUUUCAUCAAAUUUAACAAAACAUACUUAACUUAUACGUAUGAAGCAAGUAUAAAAAAAUGUCUUUCUGAAUGGGACAGGAUCACACCUUUUAUGAAAAAAGUGAGAUUUUUAUGCACAUAGGAUAACCUUGUGAGUAUGAUAGAAGAGGAAAAAUAGAUCAAAGUUGGAUGAAAGCAUCAUGCAUAAAUGACGAGUAUGAGAAUGAGGUUGAAUAAUUCUUACAAUUUACUGAACGAAAUGCACAAAUUAUAGGUGAAAAAUAUUAAUGUUCAUGUGUUGAAUGUGGGAAUGGAAAACGACAAUCAGUAAAUGACAUAAGAUCACAUUUUAUAUGUGAGGAGAUCAUUCCAAAUUAUACAAAAUGGAUAUGACAUGGUGAAUUUCCCAACAUGCCAACAAUCUCUCACACUGAGCCUAUUGACGUUGACAUUAGAGGUUGUACAUGAUACGCGAUCUUGGAUAAGAAUGUUUUUGGCAAGCACAUAUGCCUUUUUAUGAGAAAUUACUAAGUGAUUCAAAGAAGUCAUUGUAUUUAGGGUGCACAAUCUUCACACGAUUGUCAGCGGUGUUAGCUUUGGUCAACUUGAAGGCAAGAUUUAGGUGGAGUGAUAGAAUCUUCAUUGAAUUGCUUGUUUAUUGAAGAAGAUGCUUCCUAAAGAUAACACGUUAGCCAAAAAUUACUACGAGGUGAAGAAGAUAUUAUGUUCUAUGGGUAUGAAGUACAAAAAAUACAUGUAUGUCAUAAUGAUUACAUAUUGUAAAGAAAUCAGUUUGUCGAAAUACGAAUUUUCAAUUAUACAACAACUAUUUGGUAAAAGUUUUUGUACUACUUAGUACUAUUGUUUGUAUUUAUAGAGAAUAUAGCUUUUGGAUUUGCAAAAAUUGAUUAAUUAGAUGACUUUAAAUGUGAAUGCAAAAUUGGUUCUUGUAUAGAUGAUCAUUUAAGAAAAAAAAAUUAAAUAUGUCAAUCUUAAUUAAUUAACUUUUUAAUUAUUACAUAUGAAUUAUGUUUUUUACUUUUAUAUAUAUAUAUAUAUAUAUAUAUAUAUAUAUUUAAUAUUAAAGUGAAAAAAGUUAGAGUUUAAUUAUCAUACAUUAAUAAUUCUAUAGUAUCAUACAAUCAUAAAUUAUCAUGGAUAUUAUUUUUAGAAUAAUUAUUAUAAAAAUAAAUAAACAUAUAAUACAUGACAUAUUAUGAUGGUAAACAGUGCAAAAUCUAUUUCUGAUAAAUUUAAUAGCCAUUUGAUCCCGUACGCUUAUUAUGCCCCCAAAUCGCCCCAUAAAUAUUUAUGUUUGGUAAUUAUUAUAUUAUUUAUAAUUUUUAACUUAAUAAUAUUUUAAAAAAUUUAUGAAUUGAUGUUCAUUUCACGUAAAUUAUAUAUUUAAAAUUUUAUAUUAAUUUAAAAUUAUUUUUUAUUUGGUUUAUAAACUAAAAUUAAGGUAAUAUAAAUAUUUUAAAAUAUAGAUUAUUAAAAUAUAGAUUAUUUGAUUACUUUUUUUAUUUUUAUUUAAUUUUGAAAAAAUUACUAUAAAAGAUUUUGAUAAUAGAUAAAUAUAAUUCAAUGACAAUGAUAAAUAAAAAUAACUUUAUAUAUUAAAUUAUAAAAAUAAUAUAAUAAUUAUCAAAGUUACAUCUGUAUAAUUUGAUUUCUUUUCUUCUAAAAUAAGUUGAUAAAAUUUAAUUGAAUUAUGAUAAUUUCGGAUCAUAUAAUAAUUUUCCUUUCUAACCUCACAAAUAUAUUGCUUUCGUUUUGGUUGGAUAUGAUAAUUAUAUUUGUAGAAGUUUUUUGUGUUAAGAUUAAAAAUAAUAUUUAUGGCGGGUAUAUUUUUAAUAAUAUCAUGCUAACAUGAAGUUCUUAGUCGAAGAAUUAAUUGGGGAGACACAAUAUCUUAUUUUGGAUAAUAACAACACUGUCUGUCAUACACAGAUAUACAUACAGCAUACGUUAUCAAUCAAUGUUCAAUAAAGUGAAUAAAUUCAAUAGCAACGUGAUCAAGUACACUUAUUACAAACAAUACAAUGCCCGAAUCACCCUUAAUUAAAUUUGCUUUCAGUAGCCAUGCCUUGUGGACCAUGAUGUAUUUAUGGUUAUGGCUAUUUUUUUAUGUAAUAUAAAAGUUAUUUUUUAAUUUAUAAUAAGAGAUAAUAAAAUUUAAUUAUAUAUUACAUGAAUAUUAAUUGAAUUAUGGUGAUUUUGGAUUGUAUCAUAAUUUUUCCUUUCAUACCUCACAAAUAAAUUGCUUUUUUUUUCCCUGGAGAAUUGUUGAACCAUUUUCUUUUUUAUUUUUAAUAUGUAGGAAUCAAAUAUAGUAUAAGAAUUUACAGUAACUGAUACAUCCUUCCUCAAUCAAUGAGUUAUGUCUCCUUGAUAAAGUAUUUUUCUUUUUAGAUUAAAAUUGAGAUUGAAAUAAUACAAUCUUGUAUUCAACCAAGCAAAACUACGCUUAUGUGAACCUAUAAUGACCCAAGAUGUCCUAAAGGUAUUCGACCACACCAUACAUAUAGGUAUUCGGCCAAAAAAUAAAUAACAUUUAUCUAAAUUUGAUUUUUGAUAAAAAAAAAAAUAAUUCUUCGUCAAACUUUAUUUAUUUUUCGGACGAAUUCCAGAUUAGUUAGAAUCACUUCCCUUCCAUAAAUUAGAGAAUUAAGACAAAACAAAUAACACUUAUAUGGCCUUAUAAUGGCCUAAGGUGUCCUAUACGUAUUCAGCUAAAUACCCACUUGGACCUCCUCUCACGACCAACAAAAUGAGAUUCACAAGAGAUUAAGUUAAACCAAAGGCUUAGGUCACAUAAGCUCACUUAGAAGGAAAUUACCUAGAUGGUAAUCCGCCUACCAAGACCACGGUCCAAGGCUAAAAAUGUUUGUAUAAAUAAAAUUAGAACCCAGGUAAAAACUCUUGUGCCUAAUAUUAAUAUAUUUGUUUUGCCGAUAAAAAAAACUGGUUGAUCCGAUCUUAUCCUAUAUAUUGUCACGUUUUAAGUAGGUUAGGUUCACCUAAAAAGAUUGACCCCUAUCAAAAUAUUGAAUGAGAGACAGAAAUAAACACGUACGGAGUCAUGGAUAAACAUUAUUAGUAGCACUAGUAUGUCUAGACGGAGUAAAACACCUAUUAUUAUAUAAUUUUUGUGACAAACAUUAUUAGUAGCACCAGCCUCUAGCAAGCUAGGGCGUUAUUACAUUUUUCUUUUGUCACAUUUAACUACGAUGUUUGAAGUUAGAUGGCCUCAUUGAGCACAAAGCUUGGAAGAUCCAAAGCAUCAUUGCUGCUACCAUCUGACAACUUGGAAGCAAAAGACCAAGAAAUCACAUCAUGGGUUUCAACGGAGCCUUCAUGCAACCCGGUGGUGGCAGAGAACCCAACGCUCACCCAUUCGGGAAGAUUACUCUUCAAGUUCACUGUGUCAGAGAGGAUGUAACUUGUUUUCUUUGAAGGGUGGAUCAGAGAAGCAACCAAGAGGCUCGUGGCGGCAUUAUAGGUAACGAGAAUCUCCGCCACUUGUCCAUUGGACAACCCCCACGAUGCCGUUUUGACGGACUUGAUCGAGUUCACGUCAAUGCCGAUGUGUCGGUUUGCAGGAUCCCAUUUUUUGUUCGAGAAAGUAUCGAACUCAAUCGCCACGGUUUGGAGAGACUUGUCCUUUAAGGGACUGUUGAAAAGACCAAGAAAUCCAUCGUCGGAUUGGGGCUGAGACCCGACGGGUGCCAAGAAGAAGGCAAGCCCGUCAGCUGAGUUUGAUUUGUUGGGUGCGAAAAUGUUGAAUUUAAAGGAUGUAGCCCAGCUGGCUACCUUGCCGGUUUCGCUGUCCCAAAUCUGGAUUGGGGCAGCGUAAAGGGCACGACCGAGAGAUCCCGAGGUGGGCACGCCGUUGCUGCCAACUUUGGUGAGUUGUAACACCCCAGAGGAUGAAAUACUAGCAUCUUUUUGGAGCAUAAUGUUUGGUUGGACUGGGUUGAACUUGUUGAAGGUGAAAGAAACGGUAUCGGUCGAGUGUGCCUUGGUAAGUAGCACCAAAAAGAAGGCUAGGGAGACGGAGAGAACAAUAGAGAAGUUGGAGGUGGCCAUGGCUUUGAUUUGUUUGAACUCAAAUAUAAUGCAUAGGACUUUCAUCGGGUUGUGUAUUUAUAGUGCAAGGAUAGGACUAUGACUG
RNAcentral lists this long non-coding RNA (13068 nucleotides) under Glycine max (soybean). RNAcentral describes it as "long non-coding RNA (GMAX_LNC000370)". Lineage: Eukaryota; Viridiplantae; Streptophyta; Magnoliopsida; Fabales; Fabaceae. The record is from RNAcentral.